CCACCGUCAGAGUCAUGGUUUUAAUUUGAGGUGAAAAUUAUUGAAUGUGCUCAUGUGAGAAGGCCUCAAACGCGUGGCCCAGCCUCGGGACGCAGACCCCCCGGGAGACAUUCUGAAGACGACACCACAUUUUUCUUUCACACUCUUGGAUCUGAGUUAUUAGCUCGGGGGCUGAAAGCGUGCUGAUGUGAAAAGGAGCCGUGAUGAGAAAAACAGGCUGAUGUCCAUCAUGAAGCUGACCUCAGCUGAGGCCAGAGAUACGAGGAGAACGACGCUCCUCAUCAUACUCAUACAAAUGAAGCAUAUGCUUACUUCAUAUCAGCAGAUGGCGUUGGUCUGGUUCUUGUAGCCGUUCUUCAUGCAUUCGUCCACAUAGGACUUGGGGUCGCAGCCUGACAUGAGGAUCUCC
This is a long non-coding RNA of Solea solea (common sole), 409 nucleotides long. RefSeq lists it as uncharacterized. NCBI's taxonomy places the organism in Eukaryota, Metazoa, Chordata, Actinopteri, Pleuronectiformes, Soleidae. The record is from RefSeq and is a predicted model, not a curated record. The transcript is spliced from 3 exons.